UUGCAGUUUAUUAAAUACUGUUAUUCAUGUAAAAACAAAUUGUUCAUCCAAGCAACUAAUCCACCAUCCAUGGGUAAUAUGAUACUUGCUGGUUAAAAAAGACCUCUAUACCUGUUUGUGCUUUAGUCUUAGUGUUUAAAUAUAGCUACUUUAAAUUUCUCUGAUUUUAUAUUUCAAAUAUCAGGGACAACAGACAUGAGAGACCUUUUUUUCUUAUUUUUUAUGCAUCUUAUAAAAAGCAUAAUCUGCGGUGGCACUCCUUCCAUUUUCAAAGUGACCUCUAUGAACUUUGAAUAUCCUCUGUAUUAUUUCUAGAGCAAAUCUUUAAAAACUAUGAUAUUUCAAGAUUUUUUUUUCUUUUCAAAAAAUCUUAACUUUCAAAGCUAUAAAUCAAUUACUUGUAUUUUUUCAACCCCUGUGAGUACCUCUUCCAUCUUACUGCAUACUGAACAAGUGAAAAAAAUCUUGAAUUAAAACCAUGGGUCAAUGCACAUUGGAUGUAAGCAAAGAUAUAAUGAAAGAUAUUCUGGACAAUGGGUUCAUUAUGCUUGCUACCAUAGGUUAAAAAAUAAUCUAAAAAUAAAACAGCUGGCCUAACUCUUACAUUAACUACUGCCUGUUCUGUGUGCUGAAUUAUACAAGUUACUUAUCUUACUGUGUCAGGGAUUAAGAUUAUUUUUUUGAAUGAAUAAAAAAAAUGUACUUAAUUUUAAAGUAUAAAUUUUGUAUCUAAAAAUUGAUGUCCAUAUCUAAAUAAUUACUUAAUAUUGAUAGCAGUCAAACCAGAAACUUGCAAACCUGUACUCAGCAGUUCUAUCACAGCUUAUUCAUGUCAUGAUAAAUUCACAUAUAAAAAC
Molecule: long non-coding RNA, 857 nt
Filed under: Mytilus galloprovincialis (Mediterranean mussel)
Lineage: Eukaryota; Metazoa; Mollusca; Bivalvia; Mytilida; Mytilidae
Source: RNAcentral